This is a long non-coding RNA of Prunus persica (peach), 1864 nucleotides long. RefSeq lists it as uncharacterized. The transcript is spliced from 3 exons. Lineage: Eukaryota; Viridiplantae; Streptophyta; Magnoliopsida; Rosales; Rosaceae. The record is from RefSeq and is a predicted model, not a curated record.
ACCAGAAAAAUUAUCUUCUCUCAUUCUCAUAUUCUCCCAUAUUAGACGUUAAGAAAACUUGACUUCAUAUUUCACAAGGGGAAUGCUAUGCUAGACUUACCACAUUUUUAUACCAUAUUGUGUACUACCUCUCUGGUUACAGGGACAGAGAGAAACCUGUGGCCAGUCCAAUGCUUAUAUAUCUAAGAAAGGCUCAAGUUCCUCUGCUAAUCAUGUGCAAAACAAUCCCACUAUGCAAGAGUUGAAGUCUGCCAUGCCAAACCUCUCUAAUAGUGAGUAUCAGCAGAUUCUUACCAUGAUGAAUGAUAAGAAAGAGCCACAAUAAAACUCUGCAGGACUUGGCUAUAAGGAAGAUGAUUGGUUUGGGUAAACAGCAAGGAAGCUUUUACUAUCUGGUUUCUUUGACGUCAGACAAGCCUUCCCUCCUCCAACCAUCUUGCAACCAUGCUCAUGCCUCUCACCUCUAGCAUAGCCAUUUAGGUCAUCCAUCAUCUUCUCGUUUACAAUUUUUAGCUAAGAAUGUUUUGAAUUUCCCUUUUUCAAAUAAUGCUUGCGCGGUUUGUCCCUUGGCAAAACAAACUCGAGUACCUUUUAAUUUAAGUUCCAUUUCCUCUUCCAAAUCAUUCUCUCUUAUUCAUUGCGACAUUUGGGGGCCUCAUAAAACUACAUCUUUUUCAGGGGCCCGUUAUUUUCUAACUAUUGUGGAUGACUUUACUAGGUUCACAUUGUUAUUUCUCAGCAACAUAAAUCUAAAACACAGAACUUGCUUAAAUCUUUUUUUGCCUUUGUCCAGACACAAUUCAAUUCUAAAAUACAACAAAUACGGGCUGAUAAUGGAGGUGAAUUUUCUUCCAUGCGCCGUUUCUUUCAUGAACAUAGGGUCAUCUAUCAACAUACUUGCGUCUACACAUCACAACAAAAUGGUGUUGUAGAGCGCAAGCAUUGACAUAUCAUAAAGAUGGCUAGGGCUUUACAUUUUUAGGCAAAUCUCCCUAUUUCUUUUUGGGGGGGAGUGUGUUCUCACCGCCAUAUACUUGAUCAAUCGUCUACCCGCUGCCCUUUUAUCCAAGCAAUCCCCCUAUGAGAAGUUGUACCAUAAACCUCCUUCUUACACUCACCUCCGCAUUUUUGGUUGUUUAGCCUAUGCCACCAUUGUCCAACCUUCCCAUAAAUUUGACACUAGAGCCAAGCGCUGUGUUUUUCUCAAUUACCCUUUUGGUCAAAAGCCUACAAAUUAUUUGAUCUUACCACUAGAAAAAAUUUUACCAGUCGUGAUGUCGUUUUUCAUGAGAGUCAUUUUCCUUUCAAAAGUUUACCUUCUUCCUCUCACACAGAACCUCCACCUCCUAUUUUAGCUCUUCCUUUAUCUGAUUUGUCAUCUACUCCACUUAUCUCUCCAGACCUAACCUCACCACGUACUCCAUCUCCUUCCGCCCCACUUGAUCUCACGGCUUCUUCCGACAUUGUUGCCCCCGUUUUCCCCUCUGACAUCGUUACCGCAUCACCUCCAUCACCACCUUCUUCUCCUUCUGUACCACCAGCCCCCAUCCACCACUCUCUUCCCAAAAAGGUUAAACCACCCCGUCUCUAAGAUUAUGUUUGCUCACAGGUCACUUUACCCACGAUUGACCAAUCAUCAGACUCUUUGCCAUGUCGCACCACAGGUACUCGUUAUUCCCUUUCUAACUUUCUUUCUUAUCACUGUUACUUACCCUUACAUUUUACUUUCAUUGCCAAUAUUAGUCAGCUAGUGGAACCUAACACUUUUGCAAAGGCUGUUUCUAAUCCACACUGGCAAAAGGCCAUGCAAUCUAAACUUGCGGCUUUAGAAUCCACUCAGACUUGGUCCCUCACUUAUCUUCCU